RNAcentral lists this ribosomal RNA (796 nucleotides) under uncultured bacterium. RNAcentral's name for it is "bacterial SSU rRNA". It matches the Rfam family "Bacterial small subunit ribosomal RNA", at positions 62 to 856 of the family's 1533-position model. The record is from RNAcentral.
UCGAGCGAAGUUGCUUUAGGACUGAUCCCUUCGGGGGUGACGACCUAAGCAUCUUAGCGGCGGAUGGGUGAGUAACGCGUGAGAAACCUGCCUUUCACAAAGGAAUAGCCUUGGGAAACUGGGAUUAAUACCUUAUGAUACUUUCUUACCACAUGGUAUAGAAGUUAAAGCGUAAAGCGGUGAAAGAUGGUCUCGCGUCCCAUUAGUUAGUUGGUGAGGUAAUGGCUCACCAAGACGACGAUGGGUAGCCGGCCUGAGAGGGUGAACGGCCACACUGGAACUGAGACACGGUCCAGACUCCUGCGGGAGGCAGCAGUGGGGAAUAUUGCACAAUGGAGGAAACUCUGAUGCAGCGACGCCGCGUGAACGAUGAAGGCUUUCGGGUCGUAAAGUUCUGUCCUUGGGGACGAUAAUGACGGUACCCAAGGAGGAAGCCCCGGCUAACUACGUGCCAGCAGCCGCGGUAAUACGUAGGGGGCAAGCGUUGUCCGGAUUUAUUGGGCGUAAAGGGUUCGCAGGUGGCCUUUUAAGUCAGAUGUGAAAGAUCACAGCUCAACUGUGGUAAGCAUUUGAAACUGAAAGGCUUGAGUUAAGGAGAGGAAAGUGGAAUUCCUAGUGUAGCGGUGAAAUGCGUAGAUAUUAGGAGGAAUACCAGUGGCGAAGGCGACUUUCUGGACUUAUACUGACACUGAGGAACGAAAGCAUGGGGAGCAAACAGGAUUAGAUACCCUGGUAGUCCAUGCCGUAAACGAUGAGUGCUAGGUGUCGGGGGUCAAACCUCGGUGCCGGAGCUAAC